RNAcentral lists this long non-coding RNA (260 nucleotides) under Nicotiana benthamiana. RNAcentral describes it as "long non-coding RNA (NBEN_LNC019280)". Lineage: Eukaryota; Viridiplantae; Streptophyta; Magnoliopsida; Solanales; Solanaceae. The record is from RNAcentral.
ACAACAACAACAACUACCCAGUAUAUUCCCACCAGGUGGGGUCUGGGGAGGGUAAUUUGUAGACGAGUCUUACCCCUACCCGAAGGGGCAGAGAGGCUGUUUCCAAUCGACCCUCGGCGCAUAGGAUAAAAUGAAAAGCUGCAUUAAAACAAAGACAAAAGUAGAAACCAAAGCAAGACAAAACGAAAUAAUAAAGCAUAAGUAAUCCCGCAGAAAUAACGUAAAUAAUUAUGUAAACAUAAGAAACAUAAAUACAGUCG